UGUGUCUGCACCCCCCGACCCGUGAGGAGGUCUGUGCCCCCGACCCGUCCGUGUGCCUGCGCCCCCCGACCCGUGUGGAUGGUUGCAGACCCCAUCCCGUGAGGUUGUCUGUGCCCCCCGACCCGUGUGUGUGCCUGCACCGCCCAACCCCAUGAGUGUGCCUGCGCCCCCCAUCCGUGAGGAUGUUUGCGCUCCCGAACCGUGAGCAUGGCUACGGACCCAGACCCCGUGAGGAUGCCAGCACCUCCCGACUCCGUCAUGGUGGCUGCACCCCCCGACCCGUGAGGAAGUCUGUGCCUCCAGACCUCGUGCAUGUGCCUGCGUUCCCAGAUCCGCGCGGAUGUCUGCGCCCCCAACCAGUGAGGGUGCCUGCGCCCCCUGACUCCGUGCAUGUGCCGGAGCCCCCAGACCCUGUGAGGAUUUCUGUGCCUCCCGGACCGUGAGGGGGCCUGCGCCCCCCGACCUGUGAGGAAGUCUGCGCCCCCCAACCCCAUGAGUGUGCCUGAGCCCCCCGACCGGUGAGGAUGUCCAGGCCACCGAGCCGUGAGCAUGGUUGCGGACCCCGACCCCGUGCGGGGGGCUGCAGUAGACAUCAACCCGUGAGGGUGCCAGCGCCUCCCAACCCCGUGAGGGUGCCAGCGCCUCCCAACCCCAUGAGGGUGGCUGCACCCCCGACCUCUUGAGGUUGCCUGGGCCCCUCGACCCGUGAGAGUCCACCGACCAGAGAAGAUGCCAGCACUCCCGACCCUGUGAGUGUGCCUGGGCCCCCAACACUGUGAGAAUGCCCGUGCCCCCCGACCCGUGAGGGUGCCCGUGCCCCCUGACCCGUGAAGUUGCCAGCGGCCUCCAAUCCGUGAGUGUGCCAGCACCCCCGAUUCUGUGUGGGUGCCAACGCCCUCCAUCCCGUGAGGAUUUCUGAGCCCACCCAAUGUGGGGAGGAUGUCUACGUGCCCCCCCCCACAGUGGCAGUCACAGCUACCCCCAGCCCUCCCCCACCCCAACCACAGCCCACAGGUGGGCCUUCCUCAGUCUUCCUGGGCAGACAAAACUCCAGGAGGCUCCCGAGCUGUCUUUCAGAAUCCCUCUCAGUGGUCCCUGAGGAGCGUCAGCCAAGGAUCCGAACCACUGGCAGAUGUGGGUGCCUGUUGCUGUUGAUUUCUCAACAAUGUUGCAGUGGAUUCAUUUCUGAGAGGAACAGCGUGGUGGGGGCAAGAGGCGCGGAGUCACUACACAGACCCCGGGAGUCCAGUGAAAGCAGGCUUGAGGAGCCCUCAGGAGGAUGCUAGGACUCCGGUAUGCAGUGGGCUGGCCGUCAGGACCACGGGGUGGUGUGCAGUCCCCGCCUGCAGCUUCUUUGAACCCUGGGGCAUCAGCUUUCCAAUCUCUGUGUGGUGAGGAAGAACUUGAACUUCCUGUAUGACCCGAUUUCCUUGAGUGAGGCAGCAGAUCUCAAGCAGGCCUCUCGGCGUAGGGGUCUGGGUCAGUUUUCUUGUUGCUAAUCGUGCAGCAGCACAGGCUCGGUGCGUGAGAAGGAAGCAGUAUUAUUGACCUCAUGGUUUUGGUGCAGGUCUAGGGGCAGCAUCUGGUGAUGGUCUUCUUGUUGGUAGAGGCCUGGGUGGCACAGAGACCAGUGGACAGACAGAAGGGGUGCAGAGGGGGCCAAUCCAAAGUGGUCUAUGUUGCAGUCCCCUAGGGAUAAGGCAUUAAUCCAUGAACACAUGAGUGGAUUUAUCCUGAUCACUUCCUGCAGGGCCUCACCUGUUCUCACUGCUGAAUUUCUCAUCACUGGAUUAACUGUGCCCAUGAGUUUCAGAGGGGAUAAACCAUGUUUAAUAGAGAGCAUGCAGGCUUGCAGGAGGUCCCUAAAUUUCCAGGUCUCCUCCCACCUAGUUUUGAGAUUUAGUGCUUCUGCCCCUCAUGUGGAAGAAGGCACCCUUUCUUAGGGCUUUCAAGGAAAGAAGGAAAGGACUUCAAGCUUUUCUUCCUACUAGGAUCACCUAUUAUUUUCAUUGCUUGCAACCUCAUCCGAUUUUCUGAAUCACGAACAUGCAUAUUGCCUGAGUAUUACCAAGAAAAUCUUACAAGUUGUCAUGUGACAUGCUAGAAAGGACCCGUGUGUGUUGAAUGUCCUUAUGUACUUCUGUUGCCAUAUCAGGGAUUUUGUGCCUCAAAAAAUGUUCCUAAGGUCAUAUGUUUAUAUUUGUUUU
Oryctolagus cuniculus (rabbit) is the source of this 2207-nucleotide non-coding RNA. The record is from RefSeq and is a predicted model, not a curated record. NCBI's taxonomy places the organism in Eukaryota, Metazoa, Chordata, Mammalia, Lagomorpha, Leporidae.